Clostridium autoethanogenum DSM 10061 is the source of this 30-nucleotide non-coding RNA. The record is from Rfam. Lineage: Bacteria; Bacillati; Bacillota; Clostridia; Eubacteriales; Clostridiaceae.
AUUUAAAUACAUCUUAUGUUGAGGUUCAAC